AACGAACGCUGGCGGCAUGGAUUAGGCAUGCAAGUCGAACGAAGUAGCAAUACUUAGUGGCGAAAGGGUGAGGAACGCGUGAGUAAUCUGCCCUCAAGUUGGGAAUAACAGUUGGAAACGACUGCUAAUACCGAAUGUGGCUAUUUAAACGCAUGUUUUUAUGGCUAAAGAUUUAUUGCUUGAGGAUGAGCUCGCGUCCCAUUAGUUAGUUGGUGAGGUAAUGGCUCACCAAGGCGAUGAUGGGUAGCUGGUCUGAGAGGAUGGUCAGCCACACUGGGACUGAGACACUGCCCAGACUCCUACGGGAGGCUGCAGUCGAGAAUCUUGGGCAAUGCGCGAAAGCGUGACCCAGCAAUGCCGCGUGAAGGAAGACGGUUUUUCGGGAUUUGUAAACUUCUUUUAAGAGGGACGAUAAUGACGGUACCUCUUGAAUAAGCCACGGCUAACUACGUG
RNAcentral lists this ribosomal RNA (453 nucleotides) under uncultured bacterium. Its description in RNAcentral is "bacterial SSU rRNA". It matches the Rfam family "Bacterial small subunit ribosomal RNA", at positions 29 to 507 of the family's 1533-position model. The record is from RNAcentral.